GUCCCUUCGGGGACAUCUGAUAAAAUUGGAACGAUACAGAGAAGAUUAGUAUGAUCCAUGCGCAAGGAUGACACACACAAAUCGAGAAAUUGUCCAAAUUUUU
This is a small nuclear RNA of Arabis alpina (gray rockcress), 103 nucleotides long. Lineage: Eukaryota; Viridiplantae; Streptophyta; Magnoliopsida; Brassicales; Brassicaceae. The record is from Rfam.